This 499-nucleotide ribosomal RNA is filed under the name uncultured bacterium. RNAcentral describes it as "bacterial SSU rRNA". It matches the Rfam family "Bacterial small subunit ribosomal RNA", at positions 16 to 507 of the family's 1533-position model. The record is from RNAcentral.
AUCCUGGCUCAGAACAACGCUGGCGGCGCGCCUAACACAUGCAAGUCGAACGAGAAUCCGGGGCGAACCCGGUAGUAAAGUAGGCAAACGGGUGAGGAAUACAUGGGUAACCUACCCUUGAGAAGGGAAUAACCCGCCGAAAGGUGAGCUAAUACCCUAUACGCUAUCUUUUUUCGUAAAAGGAUAGGAAAGCCGGGUCGAGGACCUGGUACUCAAGGAGGGGGCUCAUGUCCUAUCAGCUUGUUGGUGGGGUAACGGCCUACCAAGGCUACGACGGGUAGCUGGUCUGAGAGGAUGAUCAGCCACACUGGCACUGAGAUACGGGCCAGACUCCUACGGGAGGCAGCAGUGAGGAAUAUUGCGCAAUGGGCGAAAGCCUGACGCAGCGACGCCGCGUGGGGGAUGAAGGUUUUCGGAUUGUAAACCCCUUCCAUGAGGAAAGAUAAAGUGGGUAACCACUUAGACGGUACCUCAAGAAGAAGCCACGGCUAACUUCGUG